CUGGCGGCGUGCCUAAUACAUGCAAGUCGAGCGGACAGAUGGGAGCUUGCUCCCUGAUGUUAGCGGCGGACGGGUGAGUAACACGUGGGUAACCUGCCUGUAAGACUGGGAUAACUCCGGGAAACCGGGGCUAAUACCGGAUGGUUGUUUGAACCGCAUGGUUCAGACAUAAAAGGUGGCUUCGGCUACCACUUACAGAUGGACCCGCGGCGCAUUAGCUAGUUGGUGAGGUAACGGCUCACCAAGGCGACGAUGCGUAGCCGACCUGAGAGGGUGAUCGGCCACACUGGGACUGAGACACGGCCCAGACUCCUACGGGAGGCAGCAGUAGGGAAUCUUCCGCAAUGGACGAAAGUCUGACGGAGCAACGCCGCGUGAGUGAUGAAGGUUUUCGGAUCGUAAAGCUCUGUUGUUAGGGAAGAACAAGUGCCGUUCAAAUAGGGCGGCACCUUGACGGUACCUAACCAGAAAGCCACGGCUAACUACGUGCCAGCAGCCGCGGUAAUACGUAGGUGGCAAGCGUUGUCCGAAUUAUUGGGCGUAAGGGCUCGCAGGCGGUU
RNAcentral lists this ribosomal RNA (560 nucleotides) under Bacillus sp. Ni57. Its description in RNAcentral is "bacterial SSU rRNA". It matches the Rfam family "Bacterial small subunit ribosomal RNA", at positions 36 to 580 of the family's 1533-position model. The record is from RNAcentral. Lineage: Bacteria; Bacillati; Bacillota; Bacilli; Caryophanales; Bacillaceae.